AUGGCGACCGGCGCACGGUGAGUAACACGUAUCCAACUGCGUCUACUCUGGACAGCUUCUGAAAGGAAGAUUAAUACAAGAUGGCAUCAUGAGUCCGCAUGUUCACAUGAUUAAAGGUAUUCCGGUAGACGAUGGGGAUGCGUUCCAUUAGAUAGUAGGCGGGGUAACGGCCCACCUAGUCUUCGAUGGAUAGGGGUUCUGAGAGGAAGGUCCCCCACAUUGGAACUGAGACACGGUCCAAACUCCUACGGGAGGCAGCAGUGAGGAAUAUUGGUCAAUGGGCGAGAGCCUGAACCAGCCAAGUAGCGUGAAGGAUGACUGCCCUAUGGGUUGUAAACUUCUUUUAUAAAGGAAUAAAGUCGGGUAUGGAUACCCGUUUGCAUGUACUUUAUGAAUAAGGAUCGGCUAACUCCGUGCCAGCAGCCGCGGUAAUACGGAGGAUCCGAGCGUUAUCCGGAUUUAUUGGGUUUAAAGGGAGCGUAGAUGGAUGUUUAAGUCAGUUGUGAAAGUUUGCGGCUCAACCGUAAAAUUGCAGUUGAUACUGGAUAUCUUGAGUGCAGUUGAGGCAGGCGGAAUUCGUGGUGUAGCGGUGAAAUGCUUAGAUAUCACGAAGAACUCCGAUUGCGAAGGCAGCCUGC
RNAcentral lists this ribosomal RNA (638 nucleotides) under uncultured bacterium. RNAcentral describes it as "bacterial SSU rRNA". It matches the Rfam family "Bacterial small subunit ribosomal RNA", at positions 88 to 729 of the family's 1533-position model. The record is from RNAcentral.